UUCUUAUCAAGAGAAGCAGAGGGAACUGGCCCGGUGAAGCUUCAGCAACCUCUGACACUGUCAGAAAGGUGCUACCUCCAACAAGACCUAGGUCUUGAGAGAUAAGGU
This 108-nucleotide non-coding RNA is filed under the name Sporosarcina sp. Its description in RNAcentral is "SAM-I sequence". It matches the Rfam family "SAM riboswitch aptamer (S box leader)". Rfam says of the family: The SAM riboswitch is found upstream of a number of genes which code for proteins involved in methionine or cysteine biosynthesis in Gram-positive bacteria. The SAM riboswitch acts at the level of transcription termination control. Lineage: Bacteria; Bacillati; Bacillota; Bacilli; Caryophanales; Caryophanaceae. The record is from RNAcentral. RNAcentral also lists the same sequence under 1 other name.